UACGGAGGAUGCGAGCGUUAUCCGGAUUCAUUGGGUUUAAAGGGUGCGCAGGCGGGCCUUUAAGCCGGCGGUGAAAUCGCGGGGCUCAACCCCGUCCGGCCGUUGAAACUGGGGGCCUUGAGUGGGCGAGAAGAAGGCGGAAUGCGUGGUGUAGCGGUGAAAUGCAUAGAUAUCACGCAGAACCCCGAUUGCGAAGGCAGCCUUCCGGCGCCCUACUGACGCUGAGGCACGAGAGUGCGGGGAUCGAACAGG
RNAcentral lists this ribosomal RNA (252 nucleotides) under uncultured Bacteroidales bacterium. RNAcentral describes it as "partial 16S ribosomal RNA". It matches the Rfam family "Bacterial small subunit ribosomal RNA", at positions 524 to 776 of the family's 1533-position model. Lineage: Bacteria; Pseudomonadati; Bacteroidota; Bacteroidia; Bacteroidales. The record is from RNAcentral.